Molecule: ribosomal RNA, 484 nt
Filed under: uncultured bacterium
Lineage: Bacteria
Description: partial 16S ribosomal RNA
Rfam family: Bacterial small subunit ribosomal RNA
Source: RNAcentral
AUUGAACGCUGGCGGCAGGCCUAACACAUGCAAGUCGAGCGGAUGAAGGGAGCUUGCUCCUGGAUUCAGCGGCGGACGGGUGAGUAAUGCCUAGGAAUCUGCCUGGUAGUGGGGGAUAACGUCCGGAAACGGGCGCUAAUACCGCCUACGUCCUGAGGGAGAAAGUGGGGGUUCUUCGGACCUCACGCUAUCAGAUGAGCCUAGGUCGGAUUAGCUAGUUGGUGGGGUAAAGGCCUACCAAGGCGACGAUCCGUAACUGGUCUGAGAGGAUGAUCAGUCACACGGGAACUGAGACACGGUCCAGACUCCUACGGGAGGCACCAGUGGGGAAUAUUGGACAAUGGGCGAAAGCCUGAUCCAGCCAUGCCGCGUGUGUGAAGAAGGUCUUCGGAUUGUAAAGCACUUUAAGUUGGGAGGAAGGGCAGUAAGUUAAUACCUUGCUGUUUUGACGUUACCAACAGAGAAAGCACCGGCUAACUUCGUG